UUCUAUAGACACACUAAUAAGAAGAUCACCAUUGUUGCAGUGUAUGUUGAUGAUAUCAUCAUCACCGGAGAUGAUGAUGAGGAAAUAAAGAGAGUGAAGGGGUGUCUGAGCAAGGAGUUUGAGGUAAAAGACUUGGGAAAUCUAAAGUACUUCCUUGGAAUAGAAGUGGCUCGGACAAAGAAGGGAAUAUCUUUGUGCCAACGAAAAUACACCUUGGAUCUUUUGAGUGACAUGGGCAUGAUGGGAUGUCGUGCAGCCCCUACUCCGAUUGAACAAAAUCAUCAAGUAAUAGCACAAUCAGGUGAGCUAGUGAAUAAGAAAGAUUAUCAGAAGCUGGUUGGGAGGUUAUUGUACUUGUGUCAUACCAGGCCUGACAUUAUGUAU
This 384-nucleotide ribosomal RNA is filed under the name Triticum aestivum (bread wheat). RNAcentral describes it as "partial small subunit ribosomal RNA". Lineage: Eukaryota; Viridiplantae; Streptophyta; Magnoliopsida; Poales; Poaceae. The record is from RNAcentral.